RNAcentral lists this ribosomal RNA (42 nucleotides) under Bipolaris sp. ZJ6-5A. Its description in RNAcentral is "Cochliobolus sp. ZJ6-5A partial 28S ribosomal RNA". The record is from RNAcentral. Lineage: Eukaryota; Fungi; Ascomycota; Dothideomycetes; Pleosporales; Pleosporaceae.
GGAUCAGGUAGGGAUACCCGCUGAACUUAAGCAUAUCAAUAG